Molecule: ribosomal RNA, 390 nt
Filed under: uncultured bacterium
Lineage: Bacteria
Description: bacterial SSU rRNA
Rfam family: Bacterial small subunit ribosomal RNA
Source: RNAcentral
UGAGUAACGCGUGAGCAACCUGCCUUUCAGAGGGGGACAACAGUUGGAAACGACUGCUAAUACCGCAUAACACAUAUUAGGGGGCAUCCCUUUUAUGUCCAAAGAUUUAUCGCUGAAAGAUGGCUUCGCGUCUGAUUAGCUAGAUGGCGGGGUAACGGCCCACCCAUGGCGACGAUCAGUAGCCGGUCUGAGAGGAUGAACGGCCACAUUGGGACUGAGAUACGGCCCAGACUCCUACGGGAGGCAGCAGUGGGGAAUAUUGGGCAAUGGGGGAAACCCUGACCCCAGCAACGCCGCGUGAAGGGAAGAAGGCCUUCGGGUUGUAAACUUCUUUUACCAGGGACGAACACAAUGACGGUACCUGGAGAAAAAGCAACGGCUAACUACGUG